GACGACGCGGGUUGGGAGAGACUGUGCACCUACAGGUGUCACUUCACAAAGGCCUCCAGGGACUUAUGAUCCGGCAGAGGAGACACCAGGAAAGAGAAGCAGAGUGGCCAGGGCAGUGCACUGCAGAUGCAUGGAUGAAAGCUCGCAGCAACACAGGCAUGGGGUGUCUAAUCAGGGAUGAGUGUGAGCAGCAGAAUGAGGAGCAUGCUUUCCUAGAGGAAGAGAGGAAGCUGCUGGAGAGAUGAAGGAUGCCUUGGACAGGAGGUGGUGUCUCUGGAACCGCCGAGCAGCAGCCUCAUUGCUCAGAAGAUGAAGACACUGACAAAGACCCAGACAGGAAAAAAGGAAGAAAAAGCAUCUUGAUUGUUCCAUUAGCAAAGCCACAGUCCCGGAGAGCAAGGGGAGGGGCACAGCAGGCAGCUACACCCAUGGGAUGCAUCUGCAGCUUGUGAGCAAUGCAUGAGAGUUGAAUCACACAACAGCAAUGCCUUCAGCUUCCGUGUGCUAUGGCUCACUCAGCACCAGCUCUGCAGGCUGCCUAAGCCAGAAGUCAGUCUCUGCCUUUAGACUUGCUCACUUCUUUUAGGAACGGAGAUAUCCUCUGAUCCCUUGUCCUACAACCUCAAUUUAAUGUCUUUGCAACAGCCAUCUGCCAAACUCAAGAAGACCCUGGAACUACCUAAUUGGAAAAGUUUCCCUCUUAUCCCUUGGAAAACUAUAGAAAAGCAGUGUCACACAAAUGUUUAAUUUCUGAUUUCUACAAUUUCAGAUACCAGAGUUUAUCUGUUACCAUGACAACUAAGAGCUUUAUAAAUGUUUUCUAGCCUCUGCUAUUUUCUGGAACUUAUCUACAUUUCAGUAUUUGCUUAAUAAUUUUGAGCUGACACUAGUAACAUAAUUGUGUCUGGAUUGUGUAUGUCUUGUGUGUGUUGGCAGGGGAUGGGUAUAACCUAUGUCAAUGUUUUUCAAUGUGAGCAAAUUUUAAUAAACUUUUAUAUUUAAUGUGAA
Molecule: long non-coding RNA, 1008 nt
Filed under: Pongo abelii (Sumatran orangutan)
Lineage: Eukaryota; Metazoa; Chordata; Mammalia; Primates; Hominidae
Description: lincRNA
Source: RNAcentral